UACGAAGGGGGCUAGCGUUGCUCGGAAUCACUGGGCGUAAAGGGUGCGUAGGCGGGUCUUUAAGUCAGGGGUGAAAUCCUGGAGCUCAACUCCAGAACUGCCUUUGAUACUGGCGAUCUCGAGUCCGGGAGAGGUGAGUGGAACUGCGAGUGUAGAGGUAAAAUUCGUAGAUAUUCGCAAGAACACCAGUGGCGAAGGCGGCUCACUGGCCCGGUACUGACGCUGAGGUGCGAAAGCGUGGGGAGCAAACAGG
This 253-nucleotide ribosomal RNA is filed under the name uncultured bacterium. Its description in RNAcentral is "partial 16S ribosomal RNA". It matches the Rfam family "Bacterial small subunit ribosomal RNA", at positions 524 to 776 of the family's 1533-position model. The record is from RNAcentral.